This 253-nucleotide ribosomal RNA is filed under the name uncultured bacterium. RNAcentral's name for it is "partial 16S ribosomal RNA". It matches the Rfam family "Bacterial small subunit ribosomal RNA", at positions 524 to 776 of the family's 1533-position model. The record is from RNAcentral.
UACGAGGGGGGCAAAUGUUGUUCGGAAUCACUGGGCGUAAAGGGUGCGUAGGCGGGCUUCUAAGUUAGGUGUUUAAUCCCGGGGCCCAACCCCGGUCAGGCACCUAAAACUGGGAGUCUUGAAUAGUGGAGAGGUCAGUGGAAUUGGAGGUGUAGCGGUGGAAUGCGUAGAGAUCUCCAAGAACACCAGUUGCGAAGGCGGCUGACUGGACACAUAUUGACGCUGAGGCUCGAAAGCAUGGGGAGCAAACAGG